GGACGAACGCUGGCGGCGUGCCUAACACAUGCAAGUCGAACGGAGUUAAGACUUCGGUUUUAACUUAGUGGCGAACGGGUGAGUAACGCGUGAGAAACCUGCCUUUCAGUGGGGGACAACAGUUGGAAACGACUGCUAAUACCGCAUAAUGUUAUUUGGGGGCAUCCCCGAAUAACCAAAGCUUUAUGUGCUGAAAGAUGGUCUCGCGUCUGAUUAGCUAGUUGGUGAGGUAACGGCUCACCAAGGCGACGAUCAGUAGCCGGUCUGAGAGGAUGAACGGCCACAUUGGGACUGAGAUACGGCCCAGACUCCUACGGGAGGCAGCAGUGGGGAAUAUUGGGCAAUGGGGGAAACCCUGACCCAGCAACGCCGCGUGAAGGAAGAAGGCCUUCGGGUUGUAAACUUCUUUUACCAGGGACGAAGAACGUGACGGUACCUGGAGAAAAAGCAACGGCUAACUACGUG
RNAcentral lists this ribosomal RNA (465 nucleotides) under uncultured bacterium. Its description in RNAcentral is "bacterial SSU rRNA". It matches the Rfam family "Bacterial small subunit ribosomal RNA", at positions 27 to 507 of the family's 1533-position model. The record is from RNAcentral.